RNAcentral lists this ribosomal RNA (432 nucleotides) under uncultured bacterium. RNAcentral describes it as "partial 16S ribosomal RNA". It matches the Rfam family "Bacterial small subunit ribosomal RNA", at positions 29 to 507 of the family's 1533-position model. The record is from RNAcentral.
ACGAACGCUGGCGGCAUGCCUAACACAUGCAAGUCGAACGAGACCUUCGGGUCUAGUGGCGCACGGGUGCGUAACGCGUGGGAACCUGCCCUUAGGUUCGGAAUAACUCCCCGAAAGGGGUGCUAAUACCGGAUAAUGUCUUCGGACCAAAGAUUUAUCGCCUUUGGAUGGGCCCGCGUUGGAUUAGCUAGUUGGUAGGGUAAAAGCCUACCGAGGCGACGAUCCAUAGCUGGUCUGAGAGGAUGAUCAGCCACACUGGGACUGAGACACGGCCCAGACUCCUACGGGAGGCAGCAGUGGGGAAUAUUGGACAAUGGGCGAAAGCCUGAUCCAGCAAUGCCGCGUGAGUGAUGAAGGCCUUAGGGUUGUAAAGCUCUUUUACCCGGGAUGAUAAUGACAGUACCGGGAGAAUAAGCUCCGGCUAACUCCGUG